CGACCAUCCCAGUUCGGAUUGCAGUCUGAAACUCGAGUGCAUGAAGCUGGAAUCGCUAGUAAUCGCAAAUCAGAAUGUUGCGGUGAAUACGUUCCCGGGUCUUGUACACACCGCCCGUCACACCAUGGGAGUUGGAAAUGCCCGAAGUCAGUGACCCAACCUAAGGGAGGGAGCUGCCGAAGGCAGGUUCGAUGACUGGGGUGAAGUCGUAACAAGGUAGC
This 221-nucleotide ribosomal RNA is filed under the name uncultured bacterium. Its description in RNAcentral is "partial 16S ribosomal RNA". It matches the Rfam family "Bacterial small subunit ribosomal RNA", at positions 1280 to 1500 of the family's 1533-position model. The record is from RNAcentral.